RNAcentral lists this ribosomal RNA (484 nucleotides) under uncultured bacterium. RNAcentral's name for it is "bacterial SSU rRNA". It matches the Rfam family "Bacterial small subunit ribosomal RNA", at positions 29 to 506 of the family's 1533-position model. The record is from RNAcentral.
AACGAACGUUAGCAAGAUGUUUUAAGCAUGCAAGUCGAGCGGCAGCACUUCGGGUGGCGAGCGGCGAACGGGUGAGUAAAAGUUAGCUAACCUGCCUUUUAGACUGGGAUAGCCACUGUAAUGGUGAUUAAUACCGGAUAUGAGUUCCUUUUUGAUAAGGGGAUUUAAAAGACGCGCGUAAGCGUCGCUAGAAGAUGGGGCUAACCCCUAUUAGCUUGUUGGUAAGGUAAUGGCUUACCAAGGCGACGAUAGGUAGCCGGCCUGAGAGGGUGAUCGGCCACAUUGGGACUGAGAUACGGCCCAGACUCCUACGGGAGGCAGCAGCUAAGAAUCUUCCGCAAUGGGCGCAAGCCUGACGGAGCAAUCUUGCAUGGAUGAUUGAAGGCUUUCGAGUUGUAAAAUCCUUUCGGCAGGGAAGAAUAAGCGGUUCAGGAAAUGGAACUGUGAUGACGGUACCUGCAGAAGAAGCCCCGGCUAACUACGU